GAGUUUGAUCCUGGCUCAGGACGAACGCUGGCGGCGUGCCUAAUACAUGCAAGUCGAGCGGAUGACAGAGGAGCUUGCUCCUCCUGAUUCAGCGGCGGACGGGUGAGUAACACGUGGGCAACCUGCCCUGUAGAUUGGGAUAACUCCGGGAAACCGGGGCUAAUACCGAAUAAUCCUUCGGACCUCAUGGUCCGAUGUUGAAAGGCGGCUUCGGCUGUCACUACAGGAUGGGCCCGCGGCGCAUUAGCUAGUUGGUGAGGUAACGGCUCACCAAGGCCACGAUGCGUAGCCGACCUGAGAGGGUGAUCGGCCACACUGGGACUGAGACACGGCCCAGACUCCUACGGGAGGCAGCAGUAGGGAAUCUUCCACAAUGGACGAAAGUCUGAUGGAGCAACGCCGCGUGAGUGAAGAAGGUUCUCGGAUCGUAAAACUCUGUUGUGAGGGAAGAACAAGUACCGGAGUAACUGCCGGUACCUUGACGGUACCUCAUUAGAAAGCCACGGCUAACUACGUGCCAGCAGCCGCGGUAAUAC
RNAcentral lists this ribosomal RNA (536 nucleotides) under Bacillus sp. PCNS. Its description in RNAcentral is "bacterial SSU rRNA". It matches the Rfam family "Bacterial small subunit ribosomal RNA", at positions 9 to 526 of the family's 1533-position model. The record is from RNAcentral. Lineage: Bacteria; Bacillati; Bacillota; Bacilli; Caryophanales; Bacillaceae.